CUCCUACGGGAGGCAGCAGUAGGGAAUCUUCCGCAAUGGGCGCAAGCCUGACGGAGCAACGCCGCGUGAGUGAGGAAGGCCUUCGGGUUGUAAAACUCAGUCACCUGGGAAGAGAGGUAUGGGGAGUGGAAUGCCCCAUACGAGACGGUACCAGGGGAGGAAGCCCCGGCUAACUACGUGCCAGCAGCCGCGGUAAUACGUAGGGGGCAAGCGUUGUCCGGAAUCACUGGGCGUAAAGCGUGCGUAGGCGGUCUUUCAAGUCCGGGGUGAAAACUCAAGGCUCAACCUUGAGAAUGCCUUGGGAACUGGGGGACUUGAGUACUGGAGAGGCAAGGGGAAUUCCACGUGUAGCGGUGAAAUGCGUAGAGAUGUGGAGGAAUACCAGUGGCGAAGGCGCCUUGCUGGACAGUGACUGACGCUGAGGCACGAAAGCGUGGGGAGCAAACAGGAUUAGAUACCCUGGUAGUCCACGCCGUAAACGAUGAGUGCUAGGUGUUGGGGGUUCAUCCCCUCAGUGCCGAAGGAAACCCAAUAAGCACUCCGCCUGGGGAGUACGGUCGCAAGACUGAAACUCAAAGGAAUUGACGGGGGCCCGCACAAGCAGUGGAGCAUGUGGUUUAAUUCAAAGCAACGCGAAGAACCUUACCAGGGCUUGACAUCCCUCUGACCGGUUCAGAGAUGGACCUUCCCUUCGGGGCAGAGGAGACAGGUGGUGCAUGGUUGUCGUCAGCUCGUGUCAUGAGAUGUUGGGUUAAGUCCCGCAACGAGCGCAACCCUUGACCUGUGUUACCAGCACGUAAUGGCGGGGACUCACAGGUGACUGCCGGCGUAAGUCGGAGGAAGGUGGGGAUGACGUCAAAUCAUCAUGCCCUUUAUGUCCUGGGCUACACACGUGCUACAAUGGGCGGUACAACGGGAAGCGAGACCGCGAGGUGGAGCGAAACCCAAAAAGCCGUUCGUAGUUCGGAUUGCAGGCUGCAACCCGCCUGCAUGAAGCCGGAAUUGCUAGUAAUCGCGGAUCAGCAUGCCGCGGUGAAUCCGUUCCCGGGCCUUGCACACACCGCCCGU
This 1068-nucleotide ribosomal RNA is filed under the name Alicyclobacillus sp. enrichment culture clone MRT18-23. RNAcentral describes it as "bacterial SSU rRNA". It matches the Rfam family "Bacterial small subunit ribosomal RNA", at positions 336 to 1397 of the family's 1533-position model. Lineage: Bacteria; Bacillati; Bacillota; Bacilli; Caryophanales; Alicyclobacillaceae. The record is from RNAcentral.